UACAUGGGGUGCAACCGUUGCUCGGAAUUAUUGGGCGUAAAGCGCGCGUAGGCGGUUACUCAAGUCGGAUGUGAAAGCCCUCGGCUUAACUGAGGAAGUGCACCCGAAACUGAGUAGCUAGAGUACCAAAGAGGGUCGCGGAAUUCCCGGAGUAGAGGUGAAAUUCGUAGAUAUCGGGAGGAACACCGGUGGCGAAGGCGGCGACCUGGGUGGAUACUGACGCUGAGGCGCGAAAGCGUGGGGAGCAAACAGG
This 253-nucleotide ribosomal RNA is filed under the name uncultured bacterium. RNAcentral's name for it is "partial 16S ribosomal RNA". It matches the Rfam family "Bacterial small subunit ribosomal RNA", at positions 524 to 776 of the family's 1533-position model. The record is from RNAcentral.